GGGCCCUUAGCUCAGCGGUUAGAGCAGGGAACUCAUAAUUCCUUGGUCGCGGGUUCGAAUCCUGCAGGGCCUA
This 73-nucleotide transfer RNA is filed under the name Phycisphaerales bacterium. Its description in RNAcentral is "tRNA-Met". It matches the Rfam family "tRNA". Rfam says of the family: Transfer RNA (tRNA) molecules are approximately 80 nucleotides in length. Their secondary structure includes four short double-helical elements and three loops (D, anti-codon, and T loops). The record is from RNAcentral. Lineage: Bacteria; Pseudomonadati; Planctomycetota; Phycisphaerae; Phycisphaerales.